UACAGAGGUCCCAAGCGUUGUUCGGAUUCACUGGGCGUAAAGGGUGCGUAGGUGGCGGGGUAAGUUUGAUGUGAAAGCUCAGGGCUUAACCCUGAAAUGGCAUUGAAUACUACUCUGCUGGAGGUUUGGAGGGGGGACUGGAAUUCUUGGUGUAGCAGUGAAAUGCGUAGAUAUCAAGAGGAACACCAGUGGCGAAGGCGAGUCCCUGGACAACACCUGACACUGAGGCACGAAAGCUAGGGGAGCAAACAAG
RNAcentral lists this ribosomal RNA (253 nucleotides) under uncultured bacterium. RNAcentral describes it as "partial 16S ribosomal RNA". It matches the Rfam family "Bacterial small subunit ribosomal RNA", at positions 524 to 776 of the family's 1533-position model. The record is from RNAcentral.